This 342-nucleotide unclassified non-coding RNA is filed under the name soil metagenome. RNAcentral's name for it is "partial contains 5.8S ribosomal RNA, internal transcribed spacer 2, and large subunit ribosomal RNA". The stretch from base 1 to 120 matches the Rfam family "5.8S ribosomal RNA", at positions 35 to 154 of the family's 154-position model. The record is from RNAcentral.
GAUGAAGAACGUAGCGAAACGCGAUAUGUAAUGUGAAUUGCAGAAUUCAGUGAAUCAUCGAAUCUUUGAACGCACAUUGCGCCCGCCAGCACUCUGGCGGGCAUGCCUGUUCGAGCGUCAUUUCAACCAUCAAGCCCCCAGGGGCUUGUGCUGGGGCCCUGCGGCUGCCCGCAGGCCCUGAAAACCAGUGGCGGGCUCGCUAGUCACACCGAGCGCAGUAGCACAUCUCGCUCAGGGCGUGCGGCGGGCUCCUGCCGUGAAACCCCCCACUGUAACCCCAAAGGUUGACCUCGGAUCAGGUAGGAAUACCCGCUGAACUUAAGCAUAUCAAUAAGCGGAGGA